Long non-coding RNA from Bombyx mori (domestic silkworm), 1342 nucleotides. RefSeq lists it as uncharacterized. Lineage: Eukaryota; Metazoa; Arthropoda; Insecta; Lepidoptera; Bombycidae. The transcript has 2 exons. The record is from RefSeq and is a predicted model, not a curated record.
GUGCUUUACAUUCACAAAACCACCAGUUACUUCGCUUCGGUAACUUUGGAGGGACACAAAAAGUCAUAUAAUUUUCGUGUUAUUCAUGUUAACAAUUUCAAUAAAUAUUUCCACCGCCACCGUCCGAGACUAGACCAUAAACAUAAUUACCUUUCCGCCACCAAUAAAGCUUUUCGACAAAGCUUUUCCUCGUUAUUAAUAAUUGGGAACAAAUCACGCACUGACGUCGGAUUCGAAAUUAGGAUUGAUUCCGUGUUAUGGGUACCGGAGAAUGAUAAACAUAUUUAUAUACGUUUAAAUAUGUUGUUGUUGUUGAAUGUUUGCCCGAUGUGGGAAUCGAACCCGUGACCCUGGGCCGCUAAGUAGUGCACCAUCGGGUCGGUCACUUAAUGAUUAUAUCGAGGGGCCAAAGGCUAUGCGGUUUAAGCGACAUUCCGCUUAUCACGCGACAUUUAUCUUUGUAAUUUAAGGUCCGUCUUAUUUAGUAUCAGCAUCCCCCCAUUUACCCCAUUCAAAUGCUGAAAUUUUUUUUGUCAUAUUUUUUUCCUAAUUUUAAACUUUAAAUGGCUCUCCUGUAGUUGCAAAAAUGUCUCUUAAACCAAAUAGCCUUACACCCCUCGCUAUGAUUUUUGCGUCCCAUGUAGCCAAAUGAAUGAGACACGAUGAUAAAUGAAUCACUCAAACAAAAUGAAACCUUAAACUGAUCACCGUAAGUACGUAUUCAUCUUCAACAGAAAACCAGGAAUUAAAACUAAAAUAACGUAUAGACAUUUUAUUGAUACAACAAUAUAUUCACAACUAUCAGUGCAGUCACAUUACAAUAAAGUUUUUUUUUUAAUACAAAAUGGGAAGAUAUAAGGAUUUCCGUUUGAACUUAGGGUUUAAUCUCAUUUACUGUUAUAAAAAUACAUAUACCGAUUGAAAUCAACAGACGAACAAAUAGCGAGAAGACAGAGAGAGAGAGAAUUAAUAUUACUUUUGGCUGAAUGCAAUAAUCACUCAGUGCCAUAUUUUAGUUUUUAAAUAUACAUCAUUUUACAAAUGACAGCUAUCUACUGUCAAACAUGUCAUUAUUGAAUUCAACUGGCGAUAUUGAAUAUUCAUUAAAAUCUAUUUUAUGUAACAAAAAAAGCAAUCGGUUAUUUUGAUAUUAAAUAUGAAAUAAAACAUUAAACAGUCAUGUUACCAACUGUGCAUAGAGAUCUCGUGAGAAAAUUCUAGAAGACAGUUGUAACUAGAUUCAAUUCGAGAGUAUAAGAACAAAGUAUAUAGUCAAUAUAGGUAAUUAAAAAUAAAAGAAGAGAAAAAUGUAGAAAAAAAUAAAAGAAUAUUCGAGUAUGUA